Long non-coding RNA from Clarias gariepinus (North African catfish), 414 nucleotides. RefSeq lists it as uncharacterized. The transcript has 2 exons. The record is from RefSeq and is a predicted model, not a curated record. NCBI's taxonomy places the organism in Eukaryota, Metazoa, Chordata, Actinopteri, Siluriformes, Clariidae.
GAUAAGCACCCUGUCCAGGAUGUACUCCACCUCAUGCCCCUGGGAUAGCCUACCUGUGACCCUGUACAGGAUAGGCAGUAUACAAAAUGAGUGAUGACCUUCCCAGACACUGGAUCUGGAAUAUGGAGCUAAUGUGGAGCUGUUUUCAGGGGAAAGGGAGGCCAGACGUACCCAGACUUACUACAGAGCUUCUAAUAAACUGUUCAGUGAGCGUAUGUGUGCGGAAUGUAAGCAAUUAUAUCAUGCAUUAAUUUACUAUUUAAAGUUGUUAAAUUAAUAAAAUAAUGUUCAGAAAUUCAGUGUGCACUCCUGUAAAGAAAAUGUGCCUGAUGUUUGAAGUAUUCUCGUCUGCUACAGUGAUAGCAGACUUUAAUUUAGUUAAUAAAUUUAUACAAAUAAAAAAAAUUAAACCAA